This 116-nucleotide ribozyme is filed under the name Aedes aegypti (yellow fever mosquito). RNAcentral describes it as "drz-agam-1 ribozyme". It matches the Rfam family "drz-agam-1 ribozyme". The record is from Rfam by way of RNAcentral. Lineage: Eukaryota; Metazoa; Arthropoda; Insecta; Diptera; Culicidae.
UGCCCAGCAACUCAUAUCCCUACCUCCUCGCGGUACUGACCAGGCUACGAGUAACCUUUGGAAAGAGCGUGUAACCAACCUCGAUGGGAACUCUGGUCGUAUGCUGAAAGGGAAGG